AGAGUUUGAUCCUGGCUCAGGACGAACGCUGGCGGCGUGCCUAAUACAUGCAAGUCGAGCGGACCGAACGAGAGCUUGCUCUUGUUUGGUCAGCGGCGGACGGGUGAGUAACACGUGGGCAACCUGCCCGCAAGACCGGGAUAACUCCGGGAAACCGGAGCUAAUACCGGAUAACACCAAAGACCGCAUGGUCUUUGGUUGAAAGGCGGCUUCGGCUGCCACUUGCGGAUGGGCCCGCGGCGCAUUAGCUAGUUGGUGAGGUAACGGCUCACCAAGGCGACGAUGCGUAGCCGGCCUGAGAGGGUGACCGGCCACACUGGGACUGAGACACGGCCCAGACUCCUACGGGAGGCAGCAGUAGGGAAUCUUCCGCAAUGGACGAAAGUCUGACGGAGCGACGCCGCGUGGGCGAAGAAGGCCUUCGGGUCGUAAAGCUCUGUUGUGAGGGACGAAGGAGCGCCGUUUGAAUAAGGCGGCGCGGUGACGGUACCUCACGAGAAAGCCCCGGCUAACUACGUGCCAGCAGCCGCGGUAAUACGUAGGGGGCGAGCGUUGUCCGGAAUUAUUGGGCGUAAAGCGCGCGCAGGCGGUCCUUUAAGUCUGAUG
Molecule: ribosomal RNA, 606 nt
Filed under: uncultured bacterium
Lineage: Bacteria
Description: bacterial SSU rRNA
Rfam family: Bacterial small subunit ribosomal RNA
Source: RNAcentral